UGCCAUGUCAGGUUGAAACACUCGUUCUCGUAUGAUAACCGAAGUUAAGCAAAAUUGAGCGUGGUCAGGACCUAGAUGGGUGACUGCUUGGGAAUAUUAGGUACUGCAA
Acanthosepion pharaonis is the source of this 109-nucleotide non-coding RNA. The record is from the annotation of a GenBank genome assembly. NCBI's taxonomy places the organism in Eukaryota, Metazoa, Mollusca, Cephalopoda, Sepiida, Sepiidae.